Molecule: unclassified non-coding RNA, 189 nt
Filed under: uncultured fungus
Lineage: Eukaryota; Fungi
Description: sequence contains ITS1, 5.8S rRNA gene
Source: RNAcentral
UGAAUGUCAAUGGAGAAGGAGUGUUUUAUGUGAAGCAGUUGUGUUUUGCAUGGACAUUCUUUUAUUACUUGUAUUGAAAGGUUAAUGCGAAAUGUUUUGUUUUUUCUUGAUUAUUUGUAAAGUGAAAUGAACAACAAUUAUCAUGCUUUCUCUCGUGAUUGUGUGAUAAUGAAAUCAAAAAACCUAUGA